GCGGGAGUGGCGAAAUUGGCAGACGCACUUGGUUUAGGUCCAAGCGGAGCAAUCCGUGGGGGUUCAAGUCCCUUCUCCCGCACCA
This 85-nucleotide transfer RNA is filed under the name Silvibacterium dinghuense. RNAcentral describes it as "tRNA-Leu". It matches the Rfam family "tRNA". From Rfam's summary of the family: Transfer RNA (tRNA) molecules are approximately 80 nucleotides in length. Their secondary structure includes four short double-helical elements and three loops (D, anti-codon, and T loops). Further hydrogen bonds mediate the characteristic L-shaped molecular structure. tRNAs have two regions of fundamental functional importance: the anti-codon, which is responsible for specific mRNA codon recognition, and the 3' end, to which the tRNAs corresponding amino acid is attached (by aminoacyl-tRNA synthetases). tRNAs cope with the degeneracy of the genetic code in two manners: having more than one tRNA (with a specific anti-codon) for a particular amino acid; and 'wobble' base-pairing, i.e. permitting non-standard base-pairing at the 3rd anti-codon position. The record is from RNAcentral. Lineage: Bacteria; Pseudomonadati; Acidobacteriota; Terriglobia; Terriglobales; Acidobacteriaceae. RNAcentral also lists the same sequence under 2 other names.